This 697-nucleotide long non-coding RNA is filed under the name Vitis vinifera (wine grape). Its description in RNAcentral is "long non-coding RNA (VVIN_LNC002829)". The record is from RNAcentral. Lineage: Eukaryota; Viridiplantae; Streptophyta; Magnoliopsida; Vitales; Vitaceae.
UAAAAGUAAAUAAGAAGACAAAUGUUUUCAUAACAAAAAAGGGGGAAAAAUUAUAUUAUUACAUAUUAGAGUCAUAAUUAAACAUCAAUGAGAUAUAAGAAGAUUUGCAAUUCGAUCACGUUCUUCUUCCAUCUCUCUUACAUGAUGUGAACCAUCUUCCUCAACAAGUGAAUCCACUCUACUCUCUUCUUCAUUAAGUGGAAACAACCCUUGAUCAUCAUCAUAAGGUUUAAAUUCCAUAUCCAUUCUAGCAUUAAUCCUUAUGAAGUUGUGAAGAGCCAUUGAAGCAAUAACAAUCUUUACUUGUUUUUCAAGAGGAAAACUAUGCAUUUGUCAUAGCAUUCUCCAUCUAUUCUUCAAAACGACAAAUGUUCUCUCAAUUGUGCACCUCAAGGAAGAAUGCCUAUGAUUAAAUAUUUCCUUUUUACCUCUAGGUGAACUACCUCGUCGAAAAUCUGGAAGAUGGUAACGCUCGCCUUUAUAAGGGCCUAAAUAUCCACUCAUUUGAGGAUAACCAGCAUCGACCAAAUAUUUACCUAUAAAACAAAAACAAAAAAUAUAUAUUAGAUAAUAAAAAUUUGAUCACAAAAACAAGUUUGAUAUUGUCAUUCACAAAUCUCUAGGUGGAUGAGGAAAACCCAAUUCUGGCCUUCUUAAUGCCUCUAAAAAGACCCGUGCAUCAUGAGCAGCACCUUCC